AGCGAACGCUGGCGGCAGGCUUAACACAUGCAAGUCGAGCGGGCAUCUUCGGAUGUCAGCGGCAGACGGGUGAGUAACACGUGGGAACGUACCCUUCGGUUCGGAACAACUCUGGGAAACUGGAGCUAAUACCGGAUACGCCCUUAUGGGGAAAGGUUUACUGCCGAAGGAUCGGCCCGCGUCUGAUUAGCUAGUUGGUGGGGUAACGGCCUACCAAGGCGACGAUCAGUAGCUGGUCUGAGAGGAUGAUCAGCCACACUGGGACUGAGACACGGCCCAGACUCCUACGGGAGGGAGCAGUGGGGAAUAUUGGACAAUGGGCGCAAGCCUGAUCCAGCCAUGCCGCGUGAGUGAUGAAGGCCUUAGGGUUGUAAAGCUCUUUUGUCCGGGACGAUAAUGACGGUACCGGAAGAAUAAGCCCCGGCUAACUUCGUG
Molecule: ribosomal RNA, 435 nt
Filed under: uncultured bacterium
Lineage: Bacteria
Description: partial 16S ribosomal RNA
Rfam family: Bacterial small subunit ribosomal RNA
Source: RNAcentral